AAAUAUACAUGGAUGGAGACAGUAUAAUUGUUGUCCUGUUUAAGCGAGCUGGGAAUGGUGGGAGCCUGGUACAGAAAAUAAUUAGAGAUCACUCCUGAGUAUCCAAUCAAUUCAGGUUUUGAGGAGAAUUGGACGUGUCGUUCGCGUUAAGAACCUUGAGUGAAUUUAAAUCAAUGAUAAAUUUAAGUUUAUAAGGGUGGUACCGCGAGUCUUCUCGUCCCUUUU
RNAcentral lists this non-coding RNA (225 nucleotides) under Virgibacillus sp. RNAcentral's name for it is "T-box sequence". It matches the Rfam family "T-box leader". From Rfam's summary of the family: Uncharged tRNA acts as the effector for transcription antitermination of genes in the T-box leader family. T-boxes are found upstream of many aminoacyl-tRNA synthetase genes and some amino acid biosynthetic genes usually in Gram-positive bacteria. The record is from RNAcentral. Lineage: Bacteria; Bacillati; Bacillota; Bacilli; Caryophanales; Bacillaceae.